CUAAUAGAACACUUUUUAUGUCAUCUUUUUAUUUCUCAGGAAAUAGAAAUACAUUGGAGGAAAAGGCAAAAAGAACUAAAAUAUAUUCAACAAAAAGAAAAUUUCUUUUUCACUCUGACCUGCUAGUUUCCCUCCUCAGAGGCUACUACUAUUACUUUGUUAGACGCAUCAUGUCUCAAAAGGAGUUCAGUUCAACAACAAAUACUAAUUGAGUGUGCAGUUUGUACCAGGCAUGGUGUUAGGUGUUGGAGCAUCAAAGGUCAUUAAGAACCAGCCCUGUAUAAUAGUGGAGACAGGCACAAAACAGAUCAUUUCAAUAUAACAUAAACUUUUUUUUUGUAAGUAUGCAAAGAAUCCAUCUCAGACCUCUCUUUUUGAGUUUCAGAAUCAUUCAUCCAAUUGCCAUGUAUCUGGACAUUGUCAUGUGUAUGUUUCACAGGCAUGUUGAGCUAGACAUGUUUAAAACUGAAUCACCAGUUACCUCCCAAGUGAGUCUGCCUCUGUGUUACCUAAAUCAGAGACUGGCAUCCCAUUUAUCUGGGUACUCAAGCCA
Molecule: long non-coding RNA, 553 nt
Filed under: Homo sapiens (human)
Lineage: Eukaryota; Metazoa; Chordata; Mammalia; Primates; Hominidae
Description: non-protein coding lnc-RGS4-2:1
Source: RNAcentral